UGCAGUCGAACGAUGAUGCCCAGCUUGCUGGGCGGAUUAGUGGCGAACGGGUGAGUAAUACGUGAGUAACCUGCCCUUGACUCUGGGAUAAGCCUGGGAAACUGGGUCUAAUACUGGAUACUACCUCUUACCGCAUGGUGGGUGGUGGAAAGGGUUUUACUGGUUUUGGAUGGGCUCACGGCCUAUCAGCUUGUUGGUGGGGUAAUGGCUCACCAAGGCGACGACGGGUAGCCGGCCUGAGAGGGUGACCGGCCACACUGGGACUGAGACACGGCCCAGACUCCUACGGGAGGCAGCAGUGGGGAAUAUUGCACAAUGGGCGGAAGCCUGAUGCAGCGACGCCGCGUGAGGGAUGACGGCCUUCGGGUUGUAAACCUCUUUCAGUGGGGAAGAAGCGAGAGUGACGGUACCUGCAGAAGAAGCGCCGGCUAACUACGUGCCAGCAGCCGCGGUAAUACGUAGGGCGCAAGCGUUGUCCGGAAUUAUUGGGCGUAAAGAGCUCGUAGGCGGUUUGUCGCGUCUGCUGUGAAAGCCCGGGGCUCAACCCCGGGUCUGCAGUGGGUACGGGCAGACUAGAGUGCAGUAGGGGAGACUGGAAUUCCUGGUGUAGCGGUGAAAUGCGCAGAUAUCAGGAGGAACACCGAUGGCGAAGGCAGGUCUCUGGGCUGUUACUGACGCUGAGGAGCGAAAGCAUGGGGAGCGAACAGGAUUAGAUACCCUGGUAGUCCAUGCCGUAAACGUUGGGCACUA
This 750-nucleotide ribosomal RNA is filed under the name Kocuria rosea. Its description in RNAcentral is "bacterial SSU rRNA". It matches the Rfam family "Bacterial small subunit ribosomal RNA", at positions 56 to 818 of the family's 1533-position model. Lineage: Bacteria; Bacillati; Actinomycetota; Actinomycetes; Micrococcales; Micrococcaceae. The record is from RNAcentral.